GCAUAUCAAUAAGCGGAGAAAGGAAACCAAAAGGGGUUGGCCCAGUAACGGCGAGUGAAACGGCAACCGCUCCAAUUUGAAAUCUGGGCCUUGGGUCCCAAUUGUAAUUUGUAAAGGAAGCUUUUGGCGAGGUGCCUUCCGAAUUCCCUGUUUUUCGGCCCCCCUAAAGGGGGAGAACCCCCUCUGGGCCGACACCGAACCUCUGUAAAGCUCCCUCCACCAAUCCAGUAAUUUGGGAAUGCUGCUCAAAAUGGGAAGGAUAUGUCUUCCAAAGCUAAAUAUUGGCCAGAAACCGAUAGCGCACAAAUAAAAUGAUUCAAAGAUGAAAAACACUUUUAAAAGAAGGUUAAAAAGUUCUUUUAAUUGUUUAAAGGGAAGCGCCUAUGACCAGACUUGGGCCCCGUGAAUCCUCCAACGUUCUCCCCGGUGCACUUUGCCGGGGACAAGCCCACCUCCGUUUGGCCCCGGGGAAAAAAGGCUUGGGUAUUUUUGUCUUUUUUUGGAAUGGUAUAGCCCAAUGUGGAAAACCCUGGGCCCGAACGAAGUCCCCCUUUUCUAUGAUGGUGGCCUAAUGGUUAUUAACGACCCUCCUGAAACCCGGCCA
RNAcentral lists this ribosomal RNA (604 nucleotides) under Akanthomyces lecanii. Its description in RNAcentral is "partial 28S ribosomal RNA". It matches the Rfam family "Eukaryotic large subunit ribosomal RNA", at positions 38 to 664 of the family's 3401-position model. The record is from RNAcentral. Lineage: Eukaryota; Fungi; Ascomycota; Sordariomycetes; Hypocreales; Cordycipitaceae.